GUACUGCCCUCAGGCCCCACGCCACCUGUCCCUGAGAUGGUAACUGACGUGCUGUAAGGACGGAGUCAGCCCGCUUGUUAUGUGCUGUCUGCCGCUGCUUUCACGCUGUAGCACUCAGGCGAGUUGAGUGGUUGUCCCAGAGAGGGUAUGUCUCUCAAAGCCUAACCUGUGUUGAUAGAUUGAACGUGUUUACAACUGGUUCUGGGGGCUACUUGUAACCACGAUUAAGGAACAAUCUUUUCCUAAAUUUGUGGGAAUUUUUAACACGUUCUCAGACUCCUUCACUCUCCCGUAGAAAGCUUCAUGUUGCGUUUCAAUGUCAUAGACUCAAAAUCCUCUUGUGGUCCUUGAGGCCCCUGGAAUUGGGCCUUGGUCGACCCCUGUCCCCCGGCCCCGGCCCCCUCUACGUUCCUGUCACACCAGCCGUGGGCCAUCCUACACACAUGCAGCUCUCUUUCUGGAACAUGAUUCCUUCACGUCUUGUGGCUGGGGCCUCUGACUGUUGGAUCUCAGCUCAGCUGUCACAACACCAGACAGCAGCUGGGACUCAGGUCACCCAGCCCAGGCGCUGGCUGUCCCAUUUCUGUGCUGUUUGUUUGUAGCACAUGUCACUGGGGGAAAUUAGCAUAUUUAACUCUUUACCCCCGUAUCUCCCAGCUCUCACCGAUGCUCCCAGACUGUGAUCUAAUGGGGGCUCUUCCCGGCUCCUUCCCACCUGCAUCCCGAGCCCCGAGAAGCAACAGAGGACAAGGGCCCCAUGUUUGGGGAUCAUCAUAGUGGGGCUAUUACCGUUCUAUGGCAGUAAUACUACUGUGCAAAUAGACUGUUACAGGGAUUGAAAUUGCUUCCACUUUGUGUCAUCUCAGCGGAGCCUGACGAAGACCACAUAAGCCCCUUUUAGACAGAAGGAAACGGAUUCAAGCGCCAUGACUAAAUAAAUGAUUGGCUCAAAGACACAGGAAGUGGCAGAGCAGAGACGUUUCGACUCUAAGACGAGUUCUUUUUGGAUUAUGAGAACCAUGGAAAUGCUCUUAAGAGUUUGCAAACCCUGAAUCUGCUUCACUUCCCCCACGUUUAAGCAGCGUGUGUCCCUGAAGGUGGGCGACCUCUGCCUGGUUGCAGGUUAUCAUUCUGCUCCAGGACAUGCCGUCGCUGAGGACGGCUCUGGGUCACUCAGCAGAACCAAGCGGGCUGCGACCCCACUUCCCUUGAAACGCUGUGCACCAAACGCCCCAGAUGCAGAAACCCUAACUUCAGGUGCUGGGUGGAAAGAAUCAGAACGUGCUCUGAAUGGAAAGGGAAGGUGACAAAAUCCUGGGAAGCAAGACCAGGGCUCCUGAAUCGGCAGGCAGAAAAGGGAAGCAAAUGUUUGGUCCCGACGCCAGUGAACACACAUCUCUCCUCGGACGGCUGCCUCUGAGUCAAGGAAAGGGAAGCUGGAAAGCGUCAUAUUCCCUGCCUGAAACGAGGAGUGAGGGGGAGAAAAUAGGAGAACCAACACAAGGAAAUGAAUGUUUAUAUAAGUUAUCAUUUUUCUGUAACGAGUAACCACAUGCCUGAUCCCCGGGUUUAGAGAAAUCUGCCUUUAUACCCGACGUGCUGUGACCUCAGGCCCAUUACUGGAAGGCUCUGAGCCUUCAUUCUUUUUGUAAAACAGAGAUUACUUUGUAUACGCUUGGGACCGUGGUGAGGCUUCCCUGCGAGGUGGUGUGUGGAGGCAUCCAGCGUGCUUCAGGCAGCGACUUGUCGCCCGUCUUUGCGUGUCAUCCUGACGCUACCAUCAUUCCGGUGGAAGGUCCAUGGAGGCAAGCGCCUGGUGCUCGUUAGCCAGGUUGAAUUACUCUGCAGCCGUGGACACGGAGCACAGAUUCCUCCGAGCCCCCAGAGCCCCUCACCCCUGCCUGUGAGGCCCUGGCAGCUCUGAGCACAGACGUGUCUGUUGUUAGAUGGAGGGUCUGGGGGGCCUUUCUCUGAGCGUCACUCAACUAUGUUUCAUUCACAGAAACCCCACUUUGGAGACGCCCAGGGGAUUGGGUCUGCACCCUGCCUCUCCCCUGAACCCCCAAGAGCCCCCAACCUGCCCCUCUGCAGGCGUGUUGAGCUCACAGCAGGUGUGAAUGGGCCUGGAGUCCCCUUCCAGUCAGGGUAGCCGAGAGCCGGAGCAGAGGGGAGAGGGCGUUUCAUAAGCGUGCUGUGUGCUUUGUUCCAAAAAUCCGCGGGUGGGCCUGGAGCAAGGAAGCUGGCUGCGUGUGCUGUCGCUGGGCUGUCCCCGCAGGAAGACGGGGCUUGUACACUCGUGGCUCAGAGCUGACUCUUUUGGAAAUGGACCCUCGGCAGUAACCGAGGGCUGAGACUGGGUUUUCAGACCCUGGGGAGGCCGAGAGAGAGGGGAGAGAUGAAGAAGGAUCUGUGUCAGGAAUGGCCUGGGGGUCCCAGCAAACCGUCCCACCCCUGCUGGACAGUCCUCCUCAGCCUCGGCCUCUGUCUCCGAAGGCACCGCUGGCAGCUGCGCUGGACACAGCGGCAGGUUCCGUGAGGGCCGCACGGGCAUCCGCAGCGACACAGCCCCGCAGGAGCAGGAACCUGGGGCCAGGAGGGGGUGGGAGAGACAGCGGCGUUCGCGGGGCACCCCAGGCCUGCACCCAGCCGGCCGGGAGCUCCCGGAGGGUGGCCUCGGGUGAAGGGAGGAGAUGGGGGGAGGCCUCUGCUCUGGGGGAGAGUGAGGCCUGUUCUAGAACGUCAACAGAUUGGAGCUGAGUGUGCGUGUGAGUUCAGCAAACGUGUGUACAGUGUGGGACCUGCCGGCUGCACCGUCCACCCAGCGGGCACGUGCGGUGAGGGCUCCCUGUGGGCGGGAUCACAGCAUCCCGUAGCCUUGAACUAGCCCUCAGCAGGUGCCAAAUGCGCUGAAAAAGCUUUUGAUAUUUUCAGUGUAAACCGUAUACGUGGUCAGAACAGACCGUUUUAUUUUACAGCCUGGCUCUGUGAAGUUGUGCAUGUGUAUGUGUGUGUGUCCAUGUGUACACAGGUGUGCCCCUGUAGGCACUGUGCCUGCGUGUGUGUGUGUGAAAAGAGGGGUAUCACGGGCUGCUUCCUGGCCCAGGCCCCUCUGCAGGCCCGCCAUGUGCGGAUCCCCGAGCAGCGGGCGGUGUGGUCCCCGCCUUCUCGCCAGGAUCCCUAGGCCACGGCAUGGAGACUGUGGGAUGGACAGGUGGCCACACCUGUAAUUUCGAGCGGGGACCUGGGCUCUCCCUCACCCCUACGCCUCCACCUGGGUGGUCCCGAGAAAUCUCUGAAGGCCUCCGGCCUGUGCUCUUCCUAUUGGCACAAAAGGUUGGGAUGGGGGGCCCGGCCAGGAGCGCGGGGGGCCGUCUCUAGUCUAGCGAUAAGGUAUCCCCAGAGUACAGACGAUUCUCUUCUUGAUUUCCAACCUGUGUAUCUUGUAUUUCUCUUUCUUGCCUCAAUGGACAGGCUAGGACUUUGGGUACAAGGUUAAAUAGAAGAGGUGAGAGGGUUCUUGGCUUCGUCCUAACCAUAGUCUCUUACAAUUAAGUACAAUGUCAGAUGGAGGUUUUUGUCAGUUCCAUUGCUUGUUCACUUGCCUCUUCUACCCUUUACCACUGUGAGAAAGAUCCCUUCUAUUCAUAGUUACCUGAGAGUUUUAUCAAGAAUAGAUGUGGAAACUUGUGAAAUUAUUUUAUGUUUCUUCCAUAAGAAAAGUGUGUUUUUUCCUUCACUUGGUUAAUGUGGUGAGUUAUACUAAUUGAUGGAUGAAUGUUAAAAACCACACUUGCAUUGCUCAGACAGAUCCAAACUUGGCACGACGAUUUACAUUUCUUUGUACAUGUGUAAAUAUGUAUUUACUGUAUAGCAUUUGCUAGCACUUUAUGAAGUACUUCUGUCUAUUUAAUGAAGGAUAUCUUUCUGUAGUUUUCUUUUUUUACGACUUUUUGGUUGUGAUAUUAUUGUAAU
This is a long non-coding RNA of Globicephala melas (long-finned pilot whale), 3972 nucleotides long. RefSeq lists it as uncharacterized. Lineage: Eukaryota; Metazoa; Chordata; Mammalia; Artiodactyla; Delphinidae. The record is from RefSeq and is a predicted model, not a curated record.